UUUCUGAUGCUUCUGAACACUGGAUCCCAGCACUGACCCACCUUAGAGGCAGAAGAGCUGAAUUGACCAGAGAAAUACCACAUGAAGUGUAAGCUAGGAGCAGGUUGUAUUUGACUUGUUUCCAAUCUUGUCCCUAAGAGCCUUUACUUCUAAUUAGUCUUUACUAAUUUGAUGUUUCCUUUGUUGUACUAUGUUACCAGGCUUGUGUUGCACUAAAAUAAAUCUAAGUGGAACUGAGAGAAAUGCUUUGAAAUCUGCAUGGAGCAGUAUGCCAAAGCAGCUCAAGAGACCCCAAACCCAGGGCAUGUUACGAGAAUUAUGGGUCUGGACAGCAUUUUCUGUCAAGCUACGAAGCCCUGUAUGGGAACUACCAUUCUGGUGUCCCCAUAGAACCCCUGGGAAUGGCAGUGGGAGAGAAGCAUGCAUAUUUAUCUGCAGCUGGCAGCAAAAGCCCUGAUCACUUCUUGUCAUACAGCAUAUUCAUGCUUCCAGUCUGAAGUAUUUUCAUCCUUCAGCUGUCUAUGGAUCACCUUACGCGACUACAGCAGCUGCAGAACACCACCUAGUGGUGCUACGCACUCCCUCCAGCUAAUUAAAUACAUGGAACUUCCUUCGUGUCUCUUCCAUUCAGUUUAUUUCUAAAAACUGCAGCCACCACAAGGGGAAAUUCUGGCCCGGUCAGAACUAUCAGGGUCUUUGCACGCUGGACAAUUAAACAUAAUGGUGAAUAUGCCUGACAGGAUGCAGCCAUCGUGGCCCCCCUUCAGCAGCAGAGCUACAGGUAGGUGCUUGGCAAUUUUAGGUUUGGGGUUAUGAGGAUGUGUGCUUUUGGGGUAUGAUUCUAUGUAUGUGGAAAAUCUUGGCCAACACCUUUUUCCUAUGCUAGCCUGAAGACAUUGUUUUAAAUUAAAUUCCUCCCUGCAUUUAGCCUUCUGGGUGAAACAGGUAUGCAAGUAUGCCUAGAAAAAAAAUGGAUUUAAAUAUGAAUGUAUAAUAAUUUGGUUCUCUGUAUUUUACAGCUUCUCUCUUCAGUCUCCUGAAAGAUUUAAAAUUGAAGCUGAUGAAUUUCAAAUGAGUCCAUCUCUUAUAUUUGUCAUUUUCCAAGACAUUCUUGGCGUGCUUACACAGUAAUGAACCUGUAAUGCUAUUUCAAGCUGAUCCAACAAACCCUCAAGAUUGUGCACUUUGGACCUAACAAAUGUUUAUAUGUUUUCUUCAACAGAUAAUGAGAUAUGGAAAUGGAAAAAAAAAAAAUGUUUUCUGAGAUGAUUUUUUCCUAACUUUGGAUAUAAAGUAAAAAGGAAUAGGACUUUUAUUAAACUUAUUUUCAACAGGCACUAAUCUCUAGAAAAAGAAACUUUUUUUUUCUAAGGUAAGCAAGGUACGAAUAGCACUUUAGGCUAGUCAGUUAAAAUACCAACAUACAUGUAGUAUGAAAAUAGUGGAAUCCUGGAAUA
Molecule: long non-coding RNA, 1457 nt
Filed under: Anas platyrhynchos platyrhynchos (common mallard)
Lineage: Eukaryota; Metazoa; Chordata; Aves; Anseriformes; Anatidae
Description: lncRNA (ENSAPLG00000022942.1)
Source: RNAcentral